Non-coding RNA from Ovis aries (sheep), 73 nucleotides. The record is from Rfam. NCBI's taxonomy places the organism in Eukaryota, Metazoa, Chordata, Mammalia, Artiodactyla, Bovidae.
UUCCUGGUGGUCCAGUGGCUAAGACUCCACACUCCCAAUGCAGGGGACCCAGGUUCUAUCCCUGGCCAGGGGA